UUUUUAGAUCUCCCUGGAGGAGUUUGCCACCUAACCGAUAACCCACGAAAAACCUCUCCAGUUUUUGAAAAACCAGCAUGUAUACCAUCGUCGUCAGUCUACCUCUUAAGAGAUGUAUACUCAAAGAGCCUAACUCUUCACGUCAGAUCGAGGUGCAGCUAAUAAACUGGGGGUUGGUGAACUACAAUAUUGAGACCCUAAACCACCCAAAAACCAAUUAUGAACAGUACUAUGAAAUUAAUACUCAAAAUAGGAUUCAGCAGUAAUACCCAAAAGAAAAUGGGUAUGAAAUACACAGCUCUAAAAUGCGC
This 311-nucleotide ribosomal RNA is filed under the name Hippasteria spinosa. RNAcentral describes it as "partial 12S ribosomal RNA". The record is from RNAcentral. Lineage: Eukaryota; Metazoa; Echinodermata; Asteroidea; Valvatida; Goniasteridae.